GAGGCGGAAAUCCGAAAAGCCUUUAAUGAGUAGGAA
Pedobacter sp. AJM is the source of this 36-nucleotide non-coding RNA. NCBI's taxonomy places the organism in Bacteria, Pseudomonadati, Bacteroidota, Sphingobacteriia, Sphingobacteriales, Sphingobacteriaceae. The record is from Rfam.